RNAcentral lists this transfer RNA (77 nucleotides) under Thermoanaerobacteraceae bacterium. Its description in RNAcentral is "tRNA-Pro". It matches the Rfam family "tRNA". From Rfam's summary of the family: Transfer RNA (tRNA) molecules are approximately 80 nucleotides in length. Their secondary structure includes four short double-helical elements and three loops (D, anti-codon, and T loops). The record is from RNAcentral. Lineage: Bacteria; Bacillati; Bacillota; Clostridia; Thermoanaerobacterales; Thermoanaerobacteraceae.
CUGGGUGUGGCGCAGUUUGGUAGCGCGCUUGAAUGGGGUUCAAGAGGUCGGGGGUUCAAGUCCCUCCACUCAGACCA